This 464-nucleotide ribosomal RNA is filed under the name uncultured bacterium. RNAcentral describes it as "bacterial SSU rRNA". It matches the Rfam family "Bacterial small subunit ribosomal RNA", at positions 917 to 1382 of the family's 1533-position model. The record is from RNAcentral.
GGGCCCGCACAAGCGGUGGAGCAUGUGGUUCAAUUCGACGCAACGCGAAGAACCUUACCCAGGCUUGAACAGCGAGUGACCAUUCUCGAAAGAGGACUUCCGCAAGGACACUCGUAGAGGUGCUGCAUGGCUGUCGUCAGCUCGUGUCGUGAGAUGUUGGGUUAAGUCCCGCAACGAGCGCAACCCUUGUUUGCUGUUGCCAUCACGUUAUGGUGGGCACUCUGCAAAGACUGCCGGUGAUAAACCGGAGGAAGGUGGGGAUGACGUCAAGUCAGCAUGGCCUUUAUGUCUGGGGCUACACACGUGCUACAAUGGCCGAUACAAACCGUCGCAAAACCGCAAGGUGGAGCUAAUCGGAGAAAGUCGGUCUCAGUUCGGAUAGCAGGCUGCAACUCGCCUGCUUGAAGUUGGAAUCGCUAGUAAUCGCGGAUCAGCACGCCGCGGUGAAUACGUUCCCGGGCCUU